CGGCCGCGGUAUCCUGACCGUGCAAAGGUAGCAUAAUCACUUGUUCCUUAAUUAGGGACUAGCAUGAAUGGCCAAACGAGGAUUCAACUGUCUCUUAUUUUUAANUCAGUGAAAUUGACCUUUCAGUGAAGAGGCUGAAAUACUAAAAUAAGACGAGAAGACCCUAUGGAGCUUAAAUUAAAAGUUUAACUUUACUCCCAUCAACCUAAUGGUAUAACACAAAAAUCCUAAACUUUAAAUUUCGGUUGGGGUGACCUCGGAGAACAAAAAAUCCUCCGAAUGAUUUUAACAUAGACCAACAAGUCAAAGUAACACAAAAAUCUUAUUGACCCAAAAAUUUUUUUGAUCAACGGACCAAGUUACCCUAGGGAUAACAGCGCAAUCCUAUUUUAGAGUCCAUAUCGACAAUAGGGUUUACGACCUCGAUGUUGGAUCAGGACAUCCCAAUGGCGCA
This 454-nucleotide ribosomal RNA is filed under the name Melomys cervinipes (faun-footed melomys). RNAcentral describes it as "partial 16S ribosomal RNA". It matches the Rfam family "Bacterial large subunit ribosomal RNA", at positions 1928 to 2557 of the family's 2925-position model. The record is from RNAcentral. Lineage: Eukaryota; Metazoa; Chordata; Mammalia; Rodentia; Muridae.